AUUGAACGCUGGCGGCAUGCUUUACACAUGCAAGUCGAACGGCAGCGCGGGCUUCGGCCUGGCGGCGAGUGGCGAACGGGUGAGUAAUACAUCGGAACGUGCCCAGUAGUGGGGGAUAGCUCGGCGAAAGCCGGAUUAAUACCGCAUACGACCUGAGGGUGAAAGCUGGGGAUCUUCGGACCUCGCGCUAUUGGAGCGGCCGAUGGCAGAUUAGCUAGUUGGUGGGGUAAAGGCCUACCAAGGCGACGAUCUGUAGCUGGUCUGAGAGGACGACCAGCCACACUGGGACUGAGACACGGCCCAGACUCCUACGGGAGGCAGCAGUGGGGAAUUUUGGACAAUGGGCGAAAGCCUGAUCCAGCAAUGCCGCGUGUGUGAUGAAGGCCUUCGGGUUGUAAAGCACUUUUGGCGGGAACGAAAAGGACUGUGCCAAUACCACGGUUCGAUGACGGUACCCGCAGAAUAAGCACCGGCUAACUACGUG
This 484-nucleotide ribosomal RNA is filed under the name uncultured bacterium. Its description in RNAcentral is "partial 16S ribosomal RNA". It matches the Rfam family "Bacterial small subunit ribosomal RNA", at positions 29 to 507 of the family's 1533-position model. The record is from RNAcentral.